GGACCCUUGGCGCAGCGGUAGCGCGUGAGAUUCCAGCAAUCCGUGUCACGUGAUAUCUAGUUUCCUCAAGGUCAUCCGUUCAAAUCGGGUAGGGUUCA
Non-coding RNA from Obba rivulosa, 98 nucleotides. Lineage: Eukaryota; Fungi; Basidiomycota; Agaricomycetes; Polyporales; Gelatoporiaceae. The record is from the annotation of a GenBank genome assembly.